UCCCAUGUAGUCUAGUGGUUAGGAUACCUGGCUUUCAUCCAGGCGGCCCAGGUUUGAUUCCUGGCAUGGGAA
Molecule: non-coding RNA, 72 nt
Organism: Octopus bimaculoides (California two-spot octopus)
Lineage: Eukaryota; Metazoa; Mollusca; Cephalopoda; Octopoda; Octopodidae
Source: Rfam